AAGAUCAUACUUCACAGGAUCAUUUCUAUAGGUACGAUCGCCCAUUCUCUAUCCAAGAGAUGGAACACCCGAAACCAUGAGGACGAGUCAUAGUGUUUCCUCUUGAGCGUGAAACCGCGUUGUUUUCCAAUUUAUUGGCUGAACUUCGCAUUGAUGAUCGCUCUUAAUGACCUAUGGGUUGUUUAGAGGGAGGAAACGCAUUCUGAAUGGU
RNAcentral lists this small nucleolar RNA (211 nucleotides) under Strigamia maritima. Its description in RNAcentral is "small nucleolar RNA U3". It matches the Rfam family "Small nucleolar RNA U3". Rfam says of the family: Small nucleolar RNAs (snoRNAs) are involved in the processing and modification of rRNA in the nucleolus. There are two main classes of snoRNAs: the box C/D class, and the box H/ACA class. U3 snoRNA is a member of the box C/D class. The record is from Rfam by way of RNAcentral. Lineage: Eukaryota; Metazoa; Arthropoda; Chilopoda; Geophilomorpha; Linotaeniidae.